AGACGACGCUGGCGGCGUGCCUAAUACAUGCAAGUCGAACGGUCUUUCUAUGGAAGCUUGCUUCCACUGAGAAGAUAGUGGCGAACGGGUGAGUAACACGUGGGUAACCUGCCCAUAAGAGGGGGAUAACAUCCGGAAACGGGUGCUAAUACCGCAUAGUUUUCUUGAUUGCAUGAUUGAGAAAGGAAAGACGGCCUUUGUGCUGUCGCUUAUGGAUGGACCCGCGGCGUAUUAGUUAGUUGGUGAGGUAACGGCUCACCAAGACGAUGAUACGUAGCCGACCUGAGAGGGUGAUCGGCCACAUUGGGACUGAGACACGGCCCAAACUCCUACGGGAGGCAGCAGUAGGGAAUCUUCCGCAAUGGACGAAAGUCUGACGGAAGCAACGCCGCGUGAGUGAUGACGGCCUUCGGGUUGUAAAGCUCUGUCUUCAGGGACGAUAAUGACGGUACCUGAGGAGGAAGCCACGGCUAACUACGUGCCAGCAGCCGC
RNAcentral lists this ribosomal RNA (492 nucleotides) under uncultured bacterium. Its description in RNAcentral is "bacterial SSU rRNA". It matches the Rfam family "Bacterial small subunit ribosomal RNA", at positions 32 to 518 of the family's 1533-position model. The record is from RNAcentral.